Molecule: ribosomal RNA, 450 nt
Filed under: uncultured bacterium
Lineage: Bacteria
Description: bacterial SSU rRNA
Rfam family: Bacterial small subunit ribosomal RNA
Source: RNAcentral
UUCCAGACUCCUACGGGAGGCAGCAGUGGGGAAUAUUGGGCAAUGGGCGCAAGCCUGACCCAGCAAUGCCGCGUGAAGGAAGAAGGCUUUCGGGUUGUAAACUUCUUUGACAGGGGAAGAGCAGAAGACGGUACCCUGAAAACAAGCCACGGCUAACUACGUGCCAGCAGCCGCGGUAAUACGUAGGUGGCAAGCGUUGUCCGGAUUUACUGGGUGUAAAGGGCGUGUAGCCGGGCUGACAAGUCAGAUGUGAAAUUCCGGGGCGCAACCCCGGACCUGCAUUUGAAACUGUUGGUCUUGAGUAUCGGAGAGGCAGGCGGAAUUCCUAGUGUAGCGGUGAAAUGCGUAGAUAUUAGGAGGAACACCAGUGGCGAAGGCGGACUGCUGGACGACAACUGACGGUGAGGCGCGAAAGCGUGGGGAGCAAACAGGAUUAGAUACCCGAGUAUA